Molecule: long non-coding RNA, 198 nt
Organism: Haliotis rubra (blacklip abalone)
Lineage: Eukaryota; Metazoa; Mollusca; Gastropoda; Lepetellida; Haliotidae
Exons: 2
Source: RefSeq, a predicted model, not a curated record
CUGAGUGUGGCGUAAAACUAAACUCACUCACUCUACAGUCAUCUGGCUCUGUACCUGGCCUAUUUUAGGUGAUUUCAGACUGUUCUGUUGGACAAACGAUGAUGUGGAAUCCACUGUUUUAACACACUACUUGACAUGAAUUGAUGAAACCGAUGAAAUCUUGUGUUGAUAAUGAAAUCAAUGUAUGGUUAACAAUCA